RNAcentral lists this long non-coding RNA (333 nucleotides) under Homo sapiens (human). RNAcentral describes it as "HSALNT0043084". The record is from RNAcentral. Lineage: Eukaryota; Metazoa; Chordata; Mammalia; Primates; Hominidae.
AAACCUUUUCUCUUAGGAUUUGGUGCUAUGGAGAAAUUUUUGGUAGAAUAUAAGAGUGCAGUGGAGAAGAAACUGGCAGAGUACAAAUGUAACACCAACACAGCAAUUGAACUAAAAUUAGGGUCUGGCUCUGUUGCCCAGGCUGGAGUGCAGUGGUGUGAUCUCGGCUCAUUGCAACCUCUGCCUCCCAGGCUCAAGUGAUCCUUCCACCUCAGCCUCCUGAGUAGCUGGGACUACAGAUGUGUGCCACCACGCCCAGUGAAUUUUUGUAUUUUUUGUAGAGAUGGGGUUUUGCCGUGUUGCCCAAGCUGGUCUUGAACUCUUAUGUAUUUA